Passer domesticus (house sparrow) is the source of this 1892-nucleotide long non-coding RNA. RefSeq lists it as uncharacterized. The transcript is spliced from 5 exons. The record is from RefSeq and is a predicted model, not a curated record. NCBI's taxonomy places the organism in Eukaryota, Metazoa, Chordata, Aves, Passeriformes, Passeridae.
GCAUCUCAUGGCCCAAGAUCUCACAGCCCAAGCUGGCUGUGGCAGCGGGGAUUCUCCCUUUUGCUGCCACUCAGGGGACUGAAUCUGCAGCUGAGUUGCUUUAGAGCAGGGCUGGGUGGGGAGCCAUCUUCCAACCCUGCUGGCAGGAUUUGCCCACCACUCUGCCCAGGACUGGGGCUGGGCUGGUGCAGCCAGCCUGACAAAAACAGCUGUGGGUGGGGGUAGCAGAGAGGGAGGUCAGAACCUGUGCCCCAGGUUUGGUGUGCAGGCAAGAGGAAGGGCUUGGACUGCUCCACUCGCCCUGUUUGUCUUGGCUUCAUAAUAUGUUUGGGGCAAUGCAGGCAGGGAGAAUGAGGGCAUGGUUUUUCCCCAGCACGCAGUGGUAUUUCCUUUGCGUGUCAUGGUCAGGCCUAGCCAGGGCUUCCGCUGUCCUCUUCCCACACCAGUGGCUCCUUUUCCAACCCAAAGUUUGUACACCAGUCCCAGAUGCUGGUGAGAGGGCAGUGGUCACCCUGUGUGCCACUGCUGCAGCCCCUGCACGCCCAGGGAUGCUGGGGCCAGGCUCUGGGAGCAGCAGCAACCCCCUGAUGAACUCCAUCUGUAUUCCACAGGAACACCAUCAUACAGCCCCCCGGAAUGGACCCGCUUUGGCUGGUACCAUGGCGAGCCAGCUACCAUCUGGUCCCUGGGCAUCCUGCUGCACCAGAUGGUCUGUGGGAAGAUGCCUUUCAGGAGGGGCUGGAACUUCAGCUGGGGCCAGCUCUCACUGCCACAACGGCUCUCUCCAGAGUGCCAAAAUCUGAUCGGGUGGUGUUUAUCCAUGCACUUCUUGGACAGACCCUCAUUAGAAGAGGUGUUCUGUCAUCCUUGGAUGCAGGAUAUUCAUCUGCCCUAGAAGAAGGGAGAGAGCCAAAGUCACACUGUGAUGCAGGGCCCUGCUGGGGCCCUGGGCAGAGCCCUGACAGCCUGGUCUCACCCCAGGGAAGGAGAAGGAACCCCCCAGAGAAGCUGUACCGGAUGGGGCUGCUGCUGCAGGAGACAGCGAGGAUGACAUGAAGGAUGACAACCUCUUCCUCAACCUGGCCACCAGCAGUUGAAGAGGAAGCGUUCUAGGUGGAGUCCAGUCUGGAUUGGGAAGUGCUUGGGAGCAGCUGCAGCGUGGAUGGGCCGUGCCCUUGGAGCAGGCUGAGGACAUCGUUUGGGACCAGCUUUUUUUCCAGCCAUGGAUGGCGUGAGCCGGGCUCUGCGGAUGCUGAGGCUGCUCUGGGCUCUGCCAGGGCUCUGCUGGAGCUCAGCACCGGGCCGGAAUCAGCCAAAGAAGAAAUGGUGUCACCUGCAGCACAGACUUGCUUGAGCAUUUUGGCAACACAGCUCAAGUUUGCAGAGUGUACACCUCCAAGGGAAAACAUGACACCUCCCAAAAAUUAAACUUCUUCAAUAGCUUCUGAAAUGAAAUCAAUCUGGGAUGACUCCAAAUGACAUUUUUCAGCUUGCUCAAGCUGUAGCUCAGCCCUUCUCUGAACAGUUAUCUCCCCCACUUGCCUUUUACUUCUCAACUGCUCCCUCUUUUCCCCCAGUGAAUUCCCAGCCUGUUGCUGUCUCCAUCACUCGGUGGACUUCCUUGUUGCCCCUGACCACAAGGAAGGCUGAGCCCCAGGCUUGGGGACUCAUGCUGUCACUGGCUGAGGAGCAGCAAUGUCUCAGAGGUCCAGUGGGAUUUUAGUGUCAUUCAGAGCCACUCUCCAGCCCUCAGCUCUCCUCACUGCUGAGUUCCCACUCCCUUUUCCUUGUCCUUGCAGCAGGCUGAGCUCUGUGAAUCCCUUUGAGCUUCCCCACUCUUCCCAGGUGAUGCACCCACCUCAGUAAGGCUGAAGCUGAAGCUUCUCUGUCUC